Sus scrofa (pig) is the source of this 3483-nucleotide non-coding RNA. Lineage: Eukaryota; Metazoa; Chordata; Mammalia; Artiodactyla; Suidae. The record is from RefSeq and is a predicted model, not a curated record.
CCUGCCCUUUGGGGCAGGGCAGUAGAGUCGGAUUCCCACCUGAGAAAUCUCCAGCGAAGGGGAAGGACCUGGCUGCUCAGCGGUGACGGAUGCGGGCAGAGAGGCAGGCGCAGGAGGUGAAUCCCCCGCCUGCCCACCCCGCCGUCGGGGCAAAGGAUGUUUGAGCGUUUUGCAGAGACCAGCGUUGGGCCUCACGCACAAGCUGUGGCCAUGGCGUCAAGGCAGCCUCUUCACUCUGUGGAUGGUCUCCUUUGUGAAAAAAAGUGCUCAGCAUCGCUAAUCAGCAGGGACUGCAAAUCAAACCGCAAUGAGACAUCACCUCACACGCGGCAGGAGAGCUAUUGUUAAACAACGCAAGACAGCGAGUGUUGCUGAGGAUGCGGGAAACGGGACGCUCGUGAUGGGUUGGUGGGAAAGCAAAAUGGUGCAGCCGCUACGGAAACUAGUGUGGAGGUUCCUCAAAAAAUGAAGAGAAAACUAUGAUAUGAUCUAGGAAUCCCACUUCUGGGUAUUUAUCCAAAAGAAGUGAAAUCAGGAUUUCAAGAAAGAUUAGCAUUCCUGUGUUUAAUGCAGCUCCAUUCACAAUAGCCAAGGACAUUUAGGAAACAACCUAAAUGUCCAGUGAUAGAUGAAUAGAUAAAGAAAAUGUGUGUAUGUACACAUGUGUGUGUCUGUGUGUGCAUAUGUAUGUACACACACGCACAAAUGGCCUUGAAAAGAUGAAAUUCUGCAAAAUGCGACAACAUGAAUUACCUUUGAAGACACGCUACAUGAAAUAAACCAGUCACAAAAGGACAAACACUGCAUAUUUCCAUUUAUCUGACGUAGCUCAAACAGUCGCACUCAUAGAAUCAAAGAGAGGGUCGGUGGUUUCCAGGGGUUGCGGGGAGUGGGCAAUGCAGACUUGUUAAUCUAUGGACACACAGUUUCAGUGAAGCGAGAUGAAUAGGUUCUAGAGAUCCGCCUAACAGCAUCUAUCCGUAGUCAGCAAUACUGUACUGCAUGCUGGACAACUUGUUAAGAGGACUAACAGUUUAAUUUGUUAAGAUCUCAUGUUAAAUAUUUUCUUACCUAAGUAAAAAAAAAAAAAUCAAAAUAAGAGAAAAUAAAGAAGGGAUCCAAAGAAGGUUGGAGAACUGGAGGGCUGCAUCCGUUUGUAACUGCAAACCAAAUCUGUUUACGGUCCGGAAUUCCCACCGCCUUGAGGUCUUUGCUCAGAUUCUCCUCGUCUUGGAAUUCCCUUCUGCCUCCUCUCAGUGUUGGGAGUCUUCCCACGUCUCAGAUGGGAGGAAGUCUUCUCAACAUGACGUCUGCUCCUCUUUAGUGACACUGAUCAGUCCCGCCUGCCCUUUCUAGUUGUUCACACCGGUGCAUGGAUGUGCUAAUGCUUCCGGCCCUGUGGUCCAGAUCCUUGGGGAGCUUCCCGAAGAAGAUGCUGGUGGUGAGGAGGAAGGUGAGGAAGGUCACCACGUGGCUGCAGCACGUCAGAGGCAAUGUGCCGCUUUGCCAGAAGACUGUCCUCGGUCGGAGCCGAACCCUGCCGUCCGCGAAUCGUGCAGCGCUUGGCAAGUUCCUCAGCUUGGCCAAACAGCGAUUUUGAGCCCGGCACAAAUUAAGCUGCAUUUAUAUGUGCUCCAUUCUAGAGCACACAAUAGAUGCUCCAGAAAUAGUGAAUUCUGUUUUCUUCUCUAUCUCCCCUUUAACCAGUGCACAACAGCUCCUAGUUUAUAAAGAGCUUCUAUCUUCGAUGGACUGGUUAGGAUGCUUCGUCUUGCAAGUGCCAGAAACCCAGCCUAAGUAGAUAAAUAGAACUUUUUUGUUAAACUACUUUGCUCCCGUAACUGCAAAGACUAAGCAAAGCUCAAUCCAGGGCUCAAAUGAUGUGACCGAAGCCCAGCUUUUCUCUCUUCACUUCCUAGUUUAGCUUCCUCUGUGUUUGUUCGCUUCUCCAGCGGGCUCUGCCCCUCGUGGCAGAGGGCCACCGGAGCUGCAGUUUUUGUCUUCAGCAACUUCAGAGGAAGGAAAGCACCUUUUCCCUCGCUGCCCCAGCUGCAUUCCCAGAAUUUCAUCCCAGUGGUUUUCAUUGGCCUGGUUUCAAUCCCAUGCCCAGCCCUGAACCACACUGUGGCCUGGGGGAGGGGACGCCCCGAGAGGUCACAGCUGAGACCUCCUCUUUCCUCUGCGCCCCGAGAGGUCACAGCUGAGACCUCCUCUUUCCUCUGCGCCUGGGAUGAGAACAGCCUCCACCCAAACACGUGCACCAGGAGAAGGGAUGAGAUGGCUCUUCAAGGGCAAUCAGGGGACCAAGUGACAGGCAGGCCAAUUACAGCUGUGUACAUCUGCAGGACCCCAGUGAGGCUGGACAGGCCCAGGGAGAACGCCUCUGCUGCUUGGUGGAAUUUCUGAGACCUCUGUGAAGACACGUAGAUGCCUCCAUCCCCCAGUGGUCUGGGAGCUUCCUUAUGCUUCCCAGUGCUCUGGAUGUGUGCGUGUGCGCUCGCUCGCGUGCACGUGCGUGUGGCAAGGGCGAGGGGCCAGCGAGCUAAGUGACCUUUUAGGAAUGUGGAGGUUCUGCCAGUGUCCUGGGAGGAAAGAGUUGGCUUUUGCUCCAAAGGCCGGAACAUAAAGGACCAUUUACAGAGACGGGGGCUGGGUCAGCCCCCGGGGCGUAGUGAAGUCCCCCUGUCCAGCCUGGGGCAGCAAGGAGGAAGGGGAUUACCAGGGCCCCAGGAGAGCAAGACUCCUGGCCUAGGGGGAAGCACAGCCACUGCCUGAGCCCAGACCAGCAGGGAGGGAGCAGGGGGAGUACAUACCCCAGCCCUUCUCUCUUCCCACCCUCCAGGGUCAUGGUGCUGCCUCCCACUGGCCAAACCCAACCAGAAGCCAGAGGGCAGGGAAACCCAGAGCAGGUGAGCCGGGCAGAGAAGGGCCGAGAAUGGAGAUGAGCCAGCAAGGUCCUACUUGCCGGCUGCAGGGUUUAUCCUCUGGGAGGAAAGUGCUGUGUGUUUGACACUUGGCGGAUGAUAUGAGCACAGUUGGGGGAAGGGGUGUUUCGUCAGCGUCUGGCUAAAUUCUGAUUUAUUCUCUUGCUUUUGGAAAUUGUAAUAAUCUCUCCAUCAAAGCUCCAUCUAUCUGCCAAAAUAAUGCAUGUCCUUUUGUACGAAUGAAAGAAUUACUGCUAUUAUGCAAACACUGGAAAGGGAACCGCAUUUGCAUGCAAAGGGGAGAAAAAGAAAAAUCCUAUUUGCAAUAAAAUUAAUUAUACCAGUGUGGCAAAGAGACACAUGGGUAUCCAUUUAACAUUUGGACAGGAGCAGAACUAACUUUCCUUGCCAACCCUGAUGAAAUCGAGGAAGCCAAAAAGAAAGUACUCUAAAAAUAGAGGCCUGGAGAGAAUAUGCAGAAAUUGGGAAUUUCUGGCCACUUUAAGACGUCCCCCUCAACAGAAACAAAAGAUCGAAAUAAAGGUUUUUACAAAUACUA